RNAcentral lists this ribosomal RNA (451 nucleotides) under uncultured bacterium. Its description in RNAcentral is "partial 16S ribosomal RNA". It matches the Rfam family "Bacterial small subunit ribosomal RNA", at positions 29 to 523 of the family's 1533-position model. The record is from RNAcentral.
AACGAACGCUGGCGGCAGGUCUUAGGCAUGCAAGUCGAACGGGUGUAGCAAUACAUCAGUGGCGCACGAGUGAGUAACGCGUGGGAAGCUGCCCUUCACUGGGGAAUAACGUUUGGAAACGAACGCUAAUACCGCAUACGCCGGAAACGGGAAAGAUUUAUCGGUGAAGGAUGCGCCCGCGUUGGAUUAGCUUGUUGGUGGGGUAACGGCCUACCAAGGCGAUGAGCCAUAGCUGGUCUGAGAGGAAGAUCAGCCACGCUGGAACUGAGACACGGUCCAGACUCCUACGGGAGGCAGCAGCUAAGAAUCUUGGACAAUGGGGGAAACCCUGAUCCAGCCAUGCCGCGUGAAUGAAGAAGGCCUUCGGGUUGUAAAGUUCUUUUCGUCGUGAAGAUGAUGACAGUAGCGACAGAAAAAGCACCGGCUAACUUCGUGCCAGCCGCCGCGGUAA